This 349-nucleotide ribosomal RNA is filed under the name uncultured bacterium. RNAcentral describes it as "bacterial SSU rRNA". It matches the Rfam family "Bacterial small subunit ribosomal RNA", at positions 917 to 1269 of the family's 1533-position model. The record is from RNAcentral.
GGGUCCGCACAAGCGGUGGAGCAUGUGGUUUAAUUCGAUGAUACGCGAGGAACCUUACCUGGGCUCGAAUGGAUUUGGACAGUUUCUGAAAGGAAAUCUCUCUUCGGAGCUGAAUUCAAGGUGCUGCAUGGUUGUCGUCAGCUCGUGCCGUGAGGUGUUGGGUUAAGUCCCGCAACGAGCGCAACCCUUAUCCUAUGUUGCCAGCAUUUAGUUGGGGACUCGUAGGAGACUGCCGGGGUCAACUCGGAGGAAGGUGGGAUGACGUCAAGUCAUCAUGCCCCUUAUGCCCAGGGCUGCAAACACGCUACAAUGGCUGGUACAGAGGGCUGCGAACCCGCGAGGGCAAGCG